GCCUCAGUGGUGUAGUAGGUAACACGUGAGCCUCUGGAAAGAGUAAUCGAGAGUUCGAAUCUUUCUUGGAGCC
Molecule: transfer RNA, 73 nt
Filed under: Angiostrongylus costaricensis
Lineage: Eukaryota; Metazoa; Nematoda; Chromadorea; Rhabditida; Metastrongylidae
Rfam family: tRNA
About the family: Transfer RNA (tRNA) molecules are approximately 80 nucleotides in length. Their secondary structure includes four short double-helical elements and three loops (D, anti-codon, and T loops).
Source: Rfam by way of RNAcentral